GCUGGGCAUGGUGGCGCAUGCCUGUAAUCCCAGCUGCUUGGGAGGCUGAGGCAGGAGAAUCACUUGAACCCAGGAGGCAGAGACUGCAGUGAGCUGAGAUCACGCCACUGCCCUCCAGCCUGGGUGACAGUGAGACUCUGUCUCAA
This is an unclassified non-coding RNA of Pongo abelii (Sumatran orangutan), 146 nucleotides long. It matches the Rfam family "Metazoan signal recognition particle RNA". From Rfam's summary of the family: The signal recognition particle (SRP) is a universally conserved ribonucleoprotein. It is involved in the co-translational targeting of proteins to membranes. The record is from Ensembl. NCBI's taxonomy places the organism in Eukaryota, Metazoa, Chordata, Mammalia, Primates, Hominidae.